AGAGUUUAAAUAUAUAUUUUUUGGAGCGGUUAAAAAACCUCUCUCCUAUAAAAAGAUAAUUCCCUCCAAUUUAGUCUAAAAAACUUCCCUCCAAUUUACGUCGAUCGGUGGGAAAGCUCAACCUCAUUCCACCAUUUGCCGAAAGCGCUUCGUCUCCUCGAUAUCUCAUCAAACCAAUGUCCACACCGAUCGCAAGUUGCAAUAAGCCUUCUCCUGGUGUAAUCGCCUCCCCGGUCGUUGGAUUUAUCACUUCGGAGCAUGAUUUCGACAUCGAGGAACAACACAAUUAAGCUUCGGUCGUUUUUUGAUAAUUUCUCAUGUAUCUACAAGACUCACAAUAUUAAUCGAUCGAAGGCCAAUGCUACCACACUUGUCUGUUAGAUUAACAUAGCCAUAGGGCAUGAAGAACAAUUUCAUCCCUUUUACAAUAGCUAGUACAUAUAGGUUAGAUUAUAAGUUUGGUAUGUCGACUUUUAGGAUUGUUUUAAUUUAUCUCUCUAUUCAAUUGUGUGUCUUAUGUGUGAUUUACAUGUUUAUCAAGCAUCUCGAUUAAUUUUUGAGAUAUUUUUUGAAGUUUAAGGAUUUGUUAUGACAAUUUAAGAGCUUAUGACUAAGCUUACAAUUCAAUUCUAACCACACAUGGAUCAUCAUCUACAACCUUCUUUUCCCAAAGAUGACAACCAGUUGAAAUCAUGCUUGAGCAAAAGCUCUUCAUAAUAAUUAGGUCGAAUCAUCGACCUUUAGAAUGAUAACCGAAGCGAUUCUCUUUUGAAUUGCGCUUAGAACAAGUGAAGAGAUGGGGUAUCAUAAAAGUGAAAUGAUUGCUUGAGGGUAAUUUAAAAGUGAAUUUAUCAGCUCGAAGCCAAUUCUUCAUUUCAUCAAGAGAAUUCUUGUCAUAACGUCGAAUGAGCCGAUCUUCAACAAGGCUCUUUCUACUAGAAUAUUCUUCAUUAUUGGUUUGAGCAUCGUCUUAGCUACAAAAUUCUAGUUUUGAUCAGAUUCUCAUUGACUUUUUGGUUCCAAUUAGAAGGCAAGAAAAUAUGCUAUCCAGUGGCAAUUUAGGAGGAGAGAAUAAACCUGAAAAGUGAUCUUCCUGCACCUAUCCUUUUACUAAGAUAUAAAUUCUAAUACGCCACCUUGUCCUCCUUUGAGCGACAUUUUUAACCGGGAAUACUUCAUGUAAGUGAAAGACUAUCCAAAUUUUGCAUCCAAUAAAAUACCUUUAGAAAAAAAUGGAUUUAACAGGGUGUUGGUUUGUAUUAUAAUAGUUCGUGGAAGGUAGGAUAUAAGAUCGGAAGUGAAGGUGAAUAGAAACUAAUAAACAUUAUAAUAAAUAUUAAAAACUAUAGCAAAUAAUGAUUUGAAAUAGUAAUAUUGUAGUUGGUUGUAGAUUAUAAUAGUUGAAAACAUCAACUAUUUUAAUUGAAAAACUAAACAUUGAGUGGACUAAAAUAGUUUGCUCGAAAAAAGUCAAGUUGGAAAUCAAACACUUUCCUAUAGGUUAUGGAAAACUAAAUGGAAAGGUUUAAUUUCCAAGAAUCUUCACAUGUGCCUAGCCAGUGUAGCAUGAUUAAAUUAAUGGAAUUCCCUGUGAGUUAAUUUUGAGAUAUUAAGUUCAAGAUUUAUGGAAAGUACGAUAAUUAAAAUUGGACAAUUAAAGUAUAAAUAAAAAAAUUGAACAAAUUUUCAAAUAUGGAGACUAAAUGGUAUUUUUCAAAAUUUAACUUUAUGUCGAAUAUAUUUAUUAAUUUAAAUGGUGAAUACACCGGCAAGUUAUAGAAUCUAAAAAUUGAAAGUCGGAAAACACACGAUCGAAAAUUCAAAUACAUAUUUAAUACAAACUUGAAAGUUUCAUAGGCGAAACCUGUAGUUCAAUCUAUUCUUUUAAACUUAUUAGUAAAGUAUUGUUUUAAAAUUAAAGUACAUAUUGUUCUGCAGACAUAAUACCAUUUCUGUAAUAUUUUAGGGUUUCUUGGUUUGACUUUCAA
Molecule: long non-coding RNA, 1988 nt
Organism: Cucumis melo (muskmelon)
Lineage: Eukaryota; Viridiplantae; Streptophyta; Magnoliopsida; Cucurbitales; Cucurbitaceae
Exons: 4
Source: RefSeq, a predicted model, not a curated record